This 92-nucleotide microRNA precursor is filed under the name Pelobates cultripes (western spadefoot toad). The record is from RNAcentral. Lineage: Eukaryota; Metazoa; Chordata; Amphibia; Anura; Pelobatidae.
UAUUGCUCAAAUACAAAAAAGAUAGACGUUUCAGUUUGCCAUUUGUUUGAAUGGCAAAUUGAAACGUCAAUCUUUUUUGUAUUUGAGCAAUA